This is a small nucleolar RNA of Neotoma lepida (desert woodrat), 128 nucleotides long. It matches the Rfam family "Small Cajal body specific RNA 24". Rfam says of the family: scaRNAs are a specific class of small nuclear RNAs which localise to the Cajal bodies and guide the modification of RNA polymerase II transcribed spliceosomal RNAs U1, U2, U4, U5 and U12. ACA12 belongs to the H/ACA box class of guide RNAs as it has the predicted hairpin-hinge-hairpin-tail structure,the conserved H/ACA-box motifs and is found associated with GAR1. The record is from Rfam. Lineage: Eukaryota; Metazoa; Chordata; Mammalia; Rodentia; Cricetidae.
UGGACAUUUAUUUUGUCAGUUUCUUGUUGAAGUGAAGAUAGCUUUUUGUAAAUGUCCUGGUGAAAUGUAGUAGCUUUCUGUUCAUCUUUUGCAAGAAGAAAGGAUGGAUCUUUUGUUUAAAAAAAAAA